This 439-nucleotide ribosomal RNA is filed under the name uncultured bacterium. RNAcentral's name for it is "partial 16S ribosomal RNA". It matches the Rfam family "Bacterial small subunit ribosomal RNA", at positions 339 to 795 of the family's 1533-position model. The record is from RNAcentral.
CUACGGGGCGCUCCAGUGGGGAAUCUUAGACAAUGGGGGAAACCCUGAUCUAGCCAUGCCGCGUGAGCGACGACGGCCCUAGGGUUGUAAAGCUCUUUCAGCAGGGAAGAUAAUGACGGUACCUGCAGAAGAAGUCCCGGCUAACUCCGUGCCAGCAGCCGCGGUAAUACGGAGGGGACUAGCGUUGUUCGGAAUUACUGGGCGUAAAGCGCGCGUAGGCGGAUUGUUAAGUCGGGGGUGAAAUCCCGGGGCUCAACCCCGGAACUGCCCUCGAUACUGGCAGUCUUGAGUUCGAGAGAGGUGAGUGGAAUUCCGAGUGUAGAGGUGAAAUUCGUAGAUAUUCGGAGGAACACCAGUGGCGAAGGCGGCUCACUGGCUCGAUACUGACGCUGAGGUGCGAAAGCGUGGGGAGCAAACAGGAUUAGAUACCCGUGUAGUC